CAAAUACUAUUUAGCAUGAUGCAACAACAGCAACAACGAUCCAAUAAGAUCCCACAAGUGGGGUCUGGGAAGGAUAGUGUGUACGCAAUGUAUGUGCACCGGUGAUAUAACCAGUUAGGAGAGAAAGAUUGUUACCAAUUUGGCAAUCAGAACAUUAGAAUCUUUCUCGAACGAGACAGCUACUUCGUCCAAGAUUGGAGCGAGCGCCUUGCAGUGGCCACACCAGGGUGCAUAGAACUCUAGCAUUACUGUAACAAAAGCAAAACAUUAUUAGUUCCUUAGAUAAGGAGCUCAGGCGCAUAGAACUCUAGCAGUACUGUAACAAAAGAAGAAAGCAUAGUCAAAACAAAAGGAAAAC
This 358-nucleotide long non-coding RNA is filed under the name Nicotiana benthamiana. Its description in RNAcentral is "long non-coding RNA (NBEN_LNC029808)". The record is from RNAcentral. Lineage: Eukaryota; Viridiplantae; Streptophyta; Magnoliopsida; Solanales; Solanaceae.